GAUGAACGCUGACAGAAUGCUUAACACAUGCAAGUCGACUCGAGCCUUCGGACUUGGGUGGCGGACGGGUGAGUAACGCGUAAAGAACUUGCCUCAUAGUCUGGGACAACAUCUGGAAACGGAUGCUAAUACCGGAUAUUAUGCUUUCUUCGCAUGGAGGAAGUAUGAAAGCUAUAUGCGCUAUGAGAGAGCUUUGCGUCCCAUUAGCUAGUUGGUGAGGUAACGGCCCACCAAGGCGAUGAUGGGUAGCCGGCCUGAGAGGGUGAACGGCCACAAGGGGACUGAGACACGGCCCUUACUCCUACGGGAGGCAGCAGUGGGAAAUAUUGGACAAUGGACCAAAAGUCUGAUCCAGCAAUUCUGUGUGCACGAUGACGUUUUUCGGAAUGUAAAGUGCUUUCAGUCGGGAAGAAGCAAGUGACGGUACCGACAGAAGAAGCGACGGCUAAAUACGUGCCAGCAGCCGCGGUAAUACGUAUGUCGCAAGCGUUAUCCGGAUUUAUUGGGCGUAAAGCGCGUCUAGGCGGCAAGGAAAGUCUGAUGUGAAAAUGCGGGGCUCAACUCCGUAUUGCGUUGGAAACUGCCUUACUAGAGUACUGGAGAGGUAGGCGGAACUACAAGUGUAGAGGUGAAAUUCGUAGAUAUUUGUAGGAAUGCCGAUGGGGAAGCCAGCCUACUGGACAGAUACUGACGCUAAAGCGCGAAAGCGUGGGUAGCAAACAGG
RNAcentral lists this ribosomal RNA (724 nucleotides) under uncultured Fusobacterium sp. Its description in RNAcentral is "bacterial SSU rRNA". It matches the Rfam family "Bacterial small subunit ribosomal RNA", at positions 28 to 776 of the family's 1533-position model. The record is from RNAcentral. Lineage: Bacteria; Fusobacteriati; Fusobacteriota; Fusobacteriia; Fusobacteriales; Fusobacteriaceae.